This 149-nucleotide microRNA precursor is filed under the name Gossypium hirsutum (cotton). Its description in RNAcentral is "MIR7502 microRNA precursor family". It matches the Rfam family "MIR7502 microRNA precursor family". Lineage: Eukaryota; Viridiplantae; Streptophyta; Magnoliopsida; Malvales; Malvaceae. The record is from Rfam by way of RNAcentral. RNAcentral also lists the same sequence under 1 other name.
UGUUGAACAAAGUCCAUAAUCUAUUUGUAUUGUUAAAAACUAACAUGGUUGACAAAAUAACCGACAGUGACAUGUGGCAUGCCAUGUGUAACUCAUACUGAUGUAUAAGGACUAGAUUAUAUCAGUAAAAAUAAAUGGAAUUUUUAAUA